This 429-nucleotide ribosomal RNA is filed under the name Pseudomonadota bacterium. RNAcentral describes it as "Proteobacteria bacterium partial 16S ribosomal RNA". It matches the Rfam family "Bacterial small subunit ribosomal RNA", at positions 355 to 776 of the family's 1533-position model. The record is from RNAcentral. Lineage: Bacteria; Pseudomonadati; Pseudomonadota.
UGGGGAAUAUUGGACAAUGGGCGAAAGCCUGAUCCAGCCAUGCCGCGUGUGUGAAGAAGGUCUUCGGAUUGUAAAGCACUUUCAGUUGGGAGGAAGGGCAGUAAGCGAAUACCUUGCUGUUUUGACGUUACCGACAGAAUAAGCACCGGCUAACUCUGUGCCAGCAGCCUCGGUAAUACAGAGGGUGCAAGCGUUAAUCGGAAUUACUGGGCGUAAAGCGCGCGUAGGUGGUUCGUUAAGUUGAAUGUGAAAGCCCCGGGCUCAACCUGGGAACUGCAUCCAAAACUGGCGAGCUAGAGUAGGGCAGAGGGUGGUGGAAGUUCCUGUGUAGCGGUGAAAUGAGUAGAUAUAGGAAGGAACAACAGUGGCGAAGGCGACCACCUGGGCUCAUACUGACACUGGGGUGCGAAAGCGUGGGGAGCAAACAGG